This 451-nucleotide ribosomal RNA is filed under the name uncultured bacterium. RNAcentral's name for it is "partial 16S ribosomal RNA". It matches the Rfam family "Bacterial small subunit ribosomal RNA", at positions 354 to 796 of the family's 1533-position model. The record is from RNAcentral.
GUGGGGAAUAUUGGACAAUGGGGGGAACCCUGAUCCAGCCAUGCCGCGUGUGUGAAGAAGGCCUUUUGGUUGUAAAGCACUUUAAGCGAGGAGGAGGCUACCGAGAUUAAUACUCUUGGAUAGUGGACGUUACUCGCAGAAUAAGCACCGGCUAACUCUGUGCCAGCAGCCGCGGUAAUACAGAUGGUGCAAGCGUUAAUCGGAGUUACUGGGCGUAAAGCGCGCGUAGGUGGCCAAUUAAGUCAAAUGUGAAAUCCCCGAACUUAACUUGGGAAUUGCAUUCGAUACUGGUUGGCUAGAGUAUGGGAGAGGAUGGUAGAAUUCCAGGUGUAGCGGUGAAAUGCGUAGAGAUCUGGAGGAAUACCGAUGGCGAAGGCAGCCAUCUGGCCUAAUACUGACACUGAGGUGCGAAAGCAUGGGGAGCAAACAGGAUUAGAAACCCGUGUAGUCC